UUCCGGUUGAUCCUGCCGGAGGCUACCGCUAUUGGAGUUCGAUUAAGCCAUGCGAGUCGCGAGAAAUUAGAUUCUCGGCGUACCGCUCAGUAACACGUGGGUAACCUGCCCUAUGCUGGAUAAUAACCUCGGGAAACUGAGAAUAAUGAUCCAUAGUUCACUACGCCUGGAACGGUGAGUGGAUGAAAGCUCCGGCGGCAUAGGAUGGGCCUGCGGCGUAUCAGGUUGUAGGGGGUGUAACGUACCCUCUAGCCCUCUACGCGUACGGGUGUUGGGAGACAUAGCCCGGAGAUGGAUUCUGAGACACGAAUCCAGACCCUACGGGGUGCAGCAGGCGCGAAAACUUGGCAAUGCGAGAAAUCGUGACCAGGGAACUCCAAGUGCAUCGGGUAAGACCGGUGCUUUUCUUGACUCUAAAUAGGUCUUGGAAUAAGGGGUGGGUAAGGACGGUGCCAGCCGCCGCGGUAAUACCGGCGCCUCAAGUGGUAGUCGCUUUUAUUGGGCCUAAAACGUCCGUAGCCGGUCUGAUACAUUCGUGGGUAAAUCAACCAGCUCAACUGGUUGAAUUCUGCGAGGACGGUCAGACUUGGGACCGGGAGAGGUGUGGGGUACGCUCAGGGUAGGGGUAAAAUCCUGUCAUCCUGAGCGGACCACCUGUUGCGAAGGCGCCACACUAGAACGGAUCCGACGGUCAGGGACGAAGCCUAGGGGCACGAACCGGAUUAGAUACCCGGGUAGUCCUAGGUGUAAACGCUGUGGACUUGAUGUUGGGGGUGCUCCGAGCACUCUCAGUGUCGAAGCGAAGGUGAUAAGUCCACUGCCUGGGAAGUACGGUCGCAAGGCUGAAACUUAAAGGAAUCGGCGGGGGAGCACCGCAACCUGAGGAUUGUGCGGUUUAAUUGGAUUCAACGCCGGA
RNAcentral lists this ribosomal RNA (916 nucleotides) under uncultured archaeon. Its description in RNAcentral is "bacterial SSU rRNA". It matches the Rfam family "Archaeal small subunit ribosomal RNA", at positions 1 to 922 of the family's 1478-position model. The record is from RNAcentral.